UCGCGGCUUAUCACCGGCAGUCCCCCUAGAGUGCCCAACUCAAUGAUGGCAACUAGGGGCGAGGGUUGCGCUCGUUGCGGGACUUAACCCAACAUCUCACGACACGAGCUGACGACGGCCAUGCACCACCUGUGACCGGCCCCGAAGGACACCGCAUCUCUACGGCUUUACCAGCCAUGUCAAACCCAGGUAAGGUUCCUCGCGUUGCAUCGAAUUAAUCCGCAUGCUCCGCCGCUUGUGCGGGCCCCCGUCAAUUCCUUUGAGUUUUAGCCUUGCGGCCGUACUCCCCAGGCGGGGCACUUAAUGCGUUAGCUCCGGCACGGGAGGAGUCGACACCUCCCACACCUAGUGCCCAUCGUUUACGGCGUGGACUAC
Molecule: unclassified non-coding RNA, 375 nt
Filed under: uncultured Actinomycetes bacterium
Lineage: Bacteria; Bacillati; Actinomycetota; Actinomycetes
Description: uncultured actinobacterium contains 16S-23S intergenic spacer region
Source: RNAcentral